GAUAAACGCUGGCGGCGUGCCUAACACAUGCAAGUCGAACGAUCCCGCAAGGGAGAGUGGCGGAAGGGUGAGUAACACGUGGGAAUCUACCUCCUCGCAGGGAACAACCUCUCGAAAGAGAGGCUAAUACCCAAAAGGGUCAGAAAUGAUCAGAGUCGAAAGGCGUGAGGAGAGGAGCCCGCGGCCCAUCAGCUAGUUGGUGAGGUAAUGGCUUACCAAGGCUACAACGGGUAGGGGAUCUGAGAGGAUGUCCCCCACACUGGAACUGAAACACGGUCCAGACGCCUACGGGUGGCAGCAGUGAGGAAUAUUGGACAAUGGGUGAAAGCCCGAUCCAGCAACGCCGCGUGGAGGAUGAAGGCCUUCGGGUCGUGAACUUCUUUAGAGGGAGACGAGAAAGGACGGUAUCCCUAGAAUAAGCGACGGCAAACUACGUGCCAGCAGCCGCGU
This 450-nucleotide ribosomal RNA is filed under the name uncultured bacterium. Its description in RNAcentral is "bacterial SSU rRNA". It matches the Rfam family "Bacterial small subunit ribosomal RNA", at positions 28 to 520 of the family's 1533-position model. The record is from RNAcentral.